Molecule: ribosomal RNA, 775 nt
Filed under: uncultured Neocallimastigales
Lineage: Eukaryota; Fungi; Neocallimastigomycota; Neocallimastigomycetes; Neocallimastigales
Description: partial large subunit ribosomal RNA
Rfam family: Eukaryotic large subunit ribosomal RNA
Source: RNAcentral
AGAGAUGUGUGAUGACGCAUAUCAAUAAGCGGAGGAAAAGAAACUAACAAGGAUUCCCUUAGUAACGGCGAGUGAAGCGGGAAGAGCUCAAAUUUGAAAUCUUCAAGGUUCUACCUUGACGAAUUGUAGUUUAUAGAAGUGUUUUCUGUUAGUGGAGUUGGCAAAAGUUCUUUGGAAUAGGACAUCAUAGAGGGUGAGAAUCCCGUAUUUGGUCAUUCCUCCUAGCGUUGUGAUACACUUUCAACGAGUCGGAUUGUUUGGGAAUGCAGUCCAAAAUGGGUGGUAAAUUUCAUCUAAAGCUAAAUAUUGGCGAGAGACCGAUAGCGAACAAGUACCGUGAGGGAAAGAUGAAAAGAACUUUGAAAAGAGAGUUAAACAGUACGUGAAAUUGUCAAAAGGGAAGCGUUUGACACCAGUGUUGUUUUUUCCGAAAAUCAAUUACGAAUGUUUUGUUUUUAGGAGUUAUGACUUCAUCGGCUUGCUCCUUUCUUUACGAGACUUUCUUAAUGCACUUUUCGGUUAACAAGUCAACAUCAAUUUCUUUUGUUGUAAAAGGGUAUGAGGAAGGUGGCUUUCUUUUCGGAGAAAGUGUUUAUAGCCUUGUACCUCUGCAAUCGGAGAGAUUGAGGUCUGCAGCGUAGAUCCUUCGGGGUUAGAUACAUUUGUGCUAAGUUAUAGCUUUUCAUAGACAACUUGUUGACUAUGUUUAGUCUUGUAGCUUACUCGCUUAUGCUAUUUUACCUACGCUUAGGAUGUUGAAGAUGUAGCACAUCAU